CCUACGGGAGGCAGCAGGGGGGAAUUUUCCGCAAUGGGCGAAAGCCUGACGGAGCAAUACCGCGUGAGGGAAGAAUGCCUACGGGUUGUAAACCUCUUUUAUCAGGGAGGAACAAAAUGACGUGUACCUGAUGAAUAAGCAUCGGCUAACUCUGUGCCAGCAGCCGCGGUAAGACAGAGGAUGCAAGUGUUAUCCGGAAUUACUGGGCGUAAAGCGUCUGUAGGUUGUUGAACAAGUCAACUGUUAAAUCUUGAAGCUCAACUUCAAAAUCGCAGUCGAAACUGUUUGACUAGAGUAUAGUAGAGGUAAAGGGAAUUUCCAGUGGAGCGGUGAAAUGCGUAGAUAUUGGAAAGAACACCGAUGGCGAAAGCACUUUACUGGGCUAUUACUGACACUCAGAGACGACAGCUAGGGUAGCAAAUGGGAUUAGAUACCCCAGUAGUCCUAGCCGUAAACUAUGGAUACUAGAUGUUGAACAGAUCGACCUGUGCAGUAUUAAAGCUAACGCGUUAAGUAUCCCGCCUGGGAAGUAUGCUCGCAAGAGAGAACGACAAGAAGUAGUACGGCGNGAGACGUGCCGACGGACGACCGACCGAGGGAGGUUAGG
RNAcentral lists this ribosomal RNA (607 nucleotides) under uncultured bacterium. Its description in RNAcentral is "bacterial SSU rRNA". It matches the Rfam family "Bacterial small subunit ribosomal RNA", at positions 338 to 1416 of the family's 1533-position model. The record is from RNAcentral.